This 1368-nucleotide ribosomal RNA is filed under the name Microbacterium sp. MHS19. Its description in RNAcentral is "bacterial SSU rRNA". It matches the Rfam family "Bacterial small subunit ribosomal RNA", at positions 57 to 1431 of the family's 1533-position model. Lineage: Bacteria; Bacillati; Actinomycetota; Actinomycetes; Micrococcales; Microbacteriaceae. The record is from RNAcentral.
GCAGUCGUACGAGGGUAACACAAGAGCUUGCUCUUGUGGAUCAGUGGCGAACGGGUGAGUAACACGUGAGCAACCUGCCCCUGACUCUGGGAUAAGCGCUGGAAACGGCGUCUAAUACUGGAUAUGUGACGUGACCGCAUGGUCUGCGUUUGGAAAGAUUUUUCGGUUGGGGAUGGGCUCGCGGCCUAUCAGCUUGUUGGUGAGGUAAUGGCUCACCAAGGCGUCGACGGGUAGCCGGCCUGAGAGGGUGACCGGCCACACUGGGACUGAGACACGGCCCAGACUCCUACGGGAGGCAGCAGUGGGGAAUAUUGCACAAUGGGCGAAAGCCUGAUGCAGCAACGCCGCGUGAGGGAUGACGGCCUUCGGGUUGUAAACCUCUUUUAGCAGGGAAGAAGCGAAAGUGACGGUACCUGCAGAAAAAGCGCCGGCUAACUACGUGCCAGCAGCCGCGGUAAUACGUAGGGCGCAAGCGUUAUCCGGAAUUAUUGGGCGUAAAGAGCUCGUAGGCGGUUUGUCGCGUCUGCUGUGAAAUCCCGAGGCUCAACCUCGGGCCUGCAGUGGGUACGGGCAGACUAGAGUGCGGUAGGGGAGAUUGGAAUUCCUGGUGUAGCGGUGGAAUGCGCAGAUAUCAGGAGGAACACCGAUGGCGAAGGCAGAUCUCUGGGCCGUAACUGACGCUGAGGAGCGAAAGGGUGGGGAGCAAACAGGCUUAGAUACCCUGGUAGUCCACCCCGUAAACGUUGGGAACUAGUUGUGGGGUCCAUUCCACGGAUUCCGUGACGCAGCUAACGCAUUAAGUUCCCCGCCUGGGGAGUACGGCCGCAAGGCUAAAACUCAAAGGAAUUGACGGGGACCCGCACAAGCGGCGGAGCAUGCGGAUUAAUUCGAUGCAACGCGAAGAACCUUACCAAGGCUUGACAUAUACGAGAACGGGCCAGAAAUGGUCAACUCUUUGGACACUCGUAAACAGGUGGUGCAUGGUUGUCGUCAGCUCGUGUCGUGAGAUGUUGGGUUAAGUCCCGCAACGAGCGCAACCCUCGUUCUAUGUUGCCAGCACGUAAUGGUGGGAACUCAUGGGAUACUGCCGGGGUCAACUCGGAGGAAGGUGGGGAUGACGUCAAAUCAUCAUGCCCCUUAUGUCUUGGGCUUCACGCAUGCUACAAUGGCCGGUACAAAGGGCUGCAAUACCGUGAGGUGGAGCGAAUCCCAAAAAGCCGGUCCCAGUUCGGAUUGAGGUCUGCAACUCGACCUCAUGAAGUCGGAGUCGCUAGUAAUCGCAGAUCAGCAACGCUGCGGUGAAUACGUUCCCGGGUCUUGUACACACCGCCCGUCAAGUCAUGAAAGUCGGUAACACCUGAAGCCUGC